RNAcentral lists this ribosomal RNA (483 nucleotides) under uncultured bacterium. Its description in RNAcentral is "partial 16S ribosomal RNA". It matches the Rfam family "Bacterial small subunit ribosomal RNA", at positions 30 to 507 of the family's 1533-position model. The record is from RNAcentral.
UUGAACGCUGGCGGCAGGCCUAACACAUGCCCGUCGAGCGGAUGAAGGGAGCUUGCUCCUGGAUUCAGCGGCGGACGGGUGAGUAAUGCCUAGGAAUCUGCCUGGUAGUGGGGGAUAACGUCCGGAAACGGGCGCUAAUACCGCAUACGUCCUGAGGGAGAAAGUGGGGGAUCUUCGGACCUCACGCUAUCAGAUGAGCCUAGGUCGGAUUAGCUAGUUGGUGGGGUAAAGGCCUACCAAGGCGACGAUCCGUAACUGGUCUGAGAGGAUGAUCAGUCACACUGGAACUGAGACACGGUCCAGACUCCUACGGGAGGCAGCAGUGGGGAAUAUUGGACAAUGGGCGAAAGCCUGAUCCAGCCAUGCCGCGUGUGUGAAGAAGGUCUUCGGAUUGUAAAGCACUUUAAGUUGGGAGGAAGGGCAGUAAGUUAAUACCUUGCUGUUUUGACGUUACCAACAGAAUAAGCACCGGCUAACUUCGUG